GUGUUCUCACCUUGGCAGCACAUAUGCUAAUUUAGAAUAACACAGAAUUAGCAUGGUCUCUGGGCAUGGGUGACAUGUAAAUAAUGACAAAUCCUGUGAGAAUGU
Molecule: small nuclear RNA, 105 nt
Filed under: Spermophilus dauricus (Daurian ground squirrel)
Lineage: Eukaryota; Metazoa; Chordata; Mammalia; Rodentia; Sciuridae
Source: RNAcentral